This 907-nucleotide ribosomal RNA is filed under the name Thermofilum librum. RNAcentral describes it as "partial 16S ribosomal RNA". It matches the Rfam family "Archaeal small subunit ribosomal RNA", at positions 1 to 1327 of the family's 1478-position model. The record is from RNAcentral. Lineage: Archaea; Thermoproteati; Thermoproteota; Thermoprotei; Thermofilales; Thermofilaceae.
ACCCGACCGCUAUCGGGGUGGGGCUAACCCAUGGAAGUCUAGGAGCCGGGGCUACGGCCGGCUCCGGCGGACGGCUCAGUAGCACGUGGCUAACCUACCCUCGGGAGGGGGAUAACCCCGGGAAACUNGGGAUAAACCCCCAUANNNNCGGACACCUGGAAUGGGUCCGCGCUGAAANNGCCACGGUACCAUGCUUACCGUGGCCGCCCGAGGAUNNNNNUGCGCCCUAUCAGGUAGUUGGCGGGGUAACGGCCCGCCAAGCCGAUAACGGGUGGGGGCCGUGAGAGCGGGAGCCCCGAGAUGGGCACUGANACAACCCCCGUAGUCCCAGCUGUAAACGAUGCGGGCUAGGUGUUNNNCGGGCUUCGAGCCCGUCCAGUGCCGUANGGAAGCCGUUAAGCCCGCCGCCUGGGGAGUACGGCCGCAAGGCUGAAACUUAAAGGAAUUGGCGGGGGAGCACCACAAGGGGUGAAGCUUGCGGUUUAAUUGGAGUCAACGCCGGAAACCUUACCGGGGGCGACAGCAGGAUGAAGGCCAGGCUGACGACCUUGCCAGACGAGCUGAGAGGAGGUGCAUGNNCGUCGNNNGCUCGUNCCGUGAGGUGUCCUGUUAAGUCAGGGAACGAGCGAGACCCCCGCCCCUAGUUGCUACCCAGCCCUUCGGGGCNNNNGCACUCUAGGGGGACUGCCGGCGAUAAGNNNNAGGAAGGUGGGGGCUACGGCAGGUCAGUAUGCCCCGAAACCCCCGGGCUACACGCGAGCUGCAAUGGCGGGGACAGCGGGUUCCGACCCCGAAAGGGGGAGGUAAUCCCUUAAACCCCGCCUCAGUAGGAAUCGAGGGCUGCAACUCGCCCUCGUGAACGUGGAAUCCCUAGUAACCGCGUGUCACCAACGCGCGGUGAAUACGU